This 1852-nucleotide long non-coding RNA is filed under the name Jatropha curcas. RNAcentral describes it as "long non-coding RNA (JCUR_LNC001509)". The record is from RNAcentral. Lineage: Eukaryota; Viridiplantae; Streptophyta; Magnoliopsida; Malpighiales; Euphorbiaceae.
AAAAAUAGAACGUAGGCUGAAAACAAUAUUUGGACAAAAGACAAAAUUUGAUACAGUAAGAUGAAAUAUUAUCACAGAAGUUUUCACUUCGAAAGGGAGAGAGAUGGUAAUGGACAUGAAGCCAUGAUAUGGAAAAUGCAAAGACAGAUCGAUGCAAUGCAAUAGUGUUGAGGAGAACAAUUUUCAAUGCCAGCAAUCAAGGAGAAAUCAAUCAAAAUCAAUAAAUUCACUUUGUUGGUGCAAGUGUCGUGUUACUUGAACCACAAAAAUCAAUAGAAUGAAGCAGUCCAGGAGAAAGAAGAAACAAAAAUAAGACCAAAAGAGAGAUCUCAAGUAGACAGGCAGGAAUCACGAUUGAGUUUUAAGGUUAUUUUUGUUUUAGCAAUCCUUUAGUUAUUGUACUUGCAGCUUGACAUGAACAAAAUAAAUGAGGAUUGACAGUUUGAUAACAAAGUACAAAUUUAAUUCUGAUAGUUUGAUCAAGAUGAGUAUGACUAAUAUACCACAAAAAGCCUCAAAUAUACAUAAUUUUGCAAGCAAAAACAGUAAAACUUCAAAAUUUUCACAAAAGCAUCAGUCUGUUUACAAACAAGCAUUCAUCACAUAUGGAGAAUCUAUGAUUGAAGACAUAACACUAAAAACAUUAGCAUAGAGCCCAUUAGUAACAAAAUAGUAAUUUCAAUAGGAAUUAAGUAUCAUAAGAAAUUAAAUACUAAAAAGGGUCAGUCUGACCUUGUAUUUAGCAACCUCUUCACUCCCUACCUUGAGAUCACCCCUGGUGAAAUCUUGAUAAUUCAUCUUAUGUGAAUUGAAAAGUUCUUUUGCAGAAUCUAUAAUAAAAUUAUAGCUUUUGGGGACCAAUUACUUGAACUGGCCAUCUAGCAUCAAUACCAUGUUGUUCCAAGCUCUUGCAUAGUUCAUCUAUCAACAACUUUGAGCUCUCCACAUAUUUCUGAUCAAACAAAACAAAAGGAAAGAGUAAAUAUAUCACUUUGUUCAAAUUCUCUUACUGAAACCUUUAACAAAAGAAGACAGCAAUAUUGGUUUCUAAUGCAUCAAUGUCCACUCUUAAUUCUUUAAUCUGAUUCACUCCCUCUGGAAAAGGAAAUUUUCAAGAACUUGCAUAACAAGGGAAGGGAAUUUAAAAUGAAGCAUAUAGAUGUUAAAUUAUUAUAUAUAAAAUAGCAACUAAAUCAGCAGCACAAAGCAUAUUAUAGGUCAGAAUUUAUAUAUAAAAUUAUUAUAAUUUCUUCACAUCUGCAGCCUCUAGUAGUUUAUUGUAAUUGCUCUUCCUGAAACAAAAAGACAGCGAAUUAAUUUACCAUUUAUAUAGAUUUAAAUGUUAUAAUUGAAUUCUUUUAGCUCUGUUUAUAGCUAAUUUCUUCAAAUUUAGAAUCAUAGUACAAUUUAUAUGCUUUCUACUGUACCAUCUGCAACAAACUUUCAAGAUUAAAUACCUGAAAUUUUUAUGUCUGUUUAAGUUUUUCAAAUCAAGCCUAAAAUAUAUCCCGUCAAUGAACACAUCUAAUGCAAACCAACAAUGCUACAAAUAGUUACUGAACAAAACAUUAAUUUCAACAGAACACCAAACACUAAAAUCCCCAAAUCCCAUAUAAUCAAAGAUUGAAAAAAAGAAAAUAACUGAAAUUGAGCAGCAAAAUCCGUGGAAAUUGAUGAAUGCUGAUCAGCGUUAGCUAUUGCGUCGAUUUUUUUUGUGAUAUGUGGGAGCAGUCUAUUCUCUCACUGCUAACUUUUAAUAUAUUUUAAAGCUAUUACCUUUUAAUAUAUUUUUUUUUGUGAUAUGUCUUGACGGCGUCGUAACAGACUUACUGAAAAACCCUAAGCCCUCUUU